RNAcentral lists this long non-coding RNA (200 nucleotides) under Lathyrus oleraceus (garden pea). RNAcentral's name for it is "Pisum sativum (pea) long non-coding RNA (PSAT_LNC026865)". Lineage: Eukaryota; Viridiplantae; Streptophyta; Magnoliopsida; Fabales; Fabaceae. The record is from RNAcentral.
ACUCAGCUGCAUCUCGAGAAUCAGCAGAACAGCCAACUGGGGCAUUACAAAAAAACAAAAAAACAAAAAAAACAAAGAAAAAGAAAAGAAAGAGGAGGGUGCAAAAUCAAAAGAAAUCAAAAGAAAAGAAAUCAAAAGAAAGAAAAAGAAAGAAAGAAACAAAAGAAAAAUAGCACCCUCAAGUCCCAAGUUGACUGAUG